RNAcentral lists this non-coding RNA (204 nucleotides) under Rhizobium sp. The record is from RNAcentral. Lineage: Bacteria; Pseudomonadati; Pseudomonadota; Alphaproteobacteria; Hyphomicrobiales; Rhizobiaceae. RNAcentral also lists the same sequence under 1 other name.
CUUACUGACAUUCCAGACGGUCCUGCCCGGCAACGGAACAGGCUAAAAGGGAAUGCGGUGCGAUCCUCCAAAGGAUCAAUGCCGCGGCUGCCCCCGCAACUGUAAUCGGCGAGCCACUGCAAACGAGCCACUGGGCAAACCCGGGAAGGCAGCAGGCGGUCAGGACCCGAGAGCCAGGAGACCUGCCGUCGACAAAAAUACGUU